GACGAACGCUGGCGGCGUGCCUAACACAUGCAAGUCGAGCGAAGUGAUUUCGAAUGAAAUUUUCGGAUGGAUUUUGGAAUUAUCUUAGCGGCGGACGGGUGAGUAACGCGUGAGGAACCUGCCUUUCACAAAGGGAUAGCCUCGGGAAACUGGGAUUAAUACCUUAUGACACUUUAACCUCGCAUGGGGAAUAAGUUAAAGCGUAAAGCGGUGGAAGAUGGUCUCGCGUCCUAUUAGCUAGUUGGUGAGGUAACGGCUCACCAAGGCGACGAUAGGUAGCCGACCUGAGAGGGUGAACGGCCACACUGGAACUGAGACACGGUCCAG
This 327-nucleotide ribosomal RNA is filed under the name uncultured bacterium. RNAcentral describes it as "bacterial SSU rRNA". It matches the Rfam family "Bacterial small subunit ribosomal RNA", at positions 28 to 334 of the family's 1533-position model. The record is from RNAcentral.